RNAcentral lists this ribosomal RNA (466 nucleotides) under uncultured bacterium. Its description in RNAcentral is "bacterial SSU rRNA". It matches the Rfam family "Bacterial small subunit ribosomal RNA", at positions 8 to 462 of the family's 1533-position model. The record is from RNAcentral.
AGAGUUUGAUCCUGGCUCAGAUUGAACGCUGGCGACGUGCUUAACACAUGCAAGUCGUGCGAGAAAGGAGACUUCGGUCUCUGAGUAGAGCGGCGCACGGGUGAGUAACGCGUGGAUGAUCUACCCUUGAGUUCGGGAUAACGGUGCGAAAGCGCCGCUAAUACCGUAUAACAAUCCAUUUCAUCGUGGGUUCAAAGCAGGCCUCUUCAUGAAAGCUUGCGCUUGGGGAUGAGUCCGCGUCCCAUUAGCUUGUUGGCGGGGUAACGGCCCACCAAGGCUACGAUGGGUAGCUGGUCUGAGAGGAUGAUCAGCCACACUGGAACUGAAACACGGUCCAGACUCCUACGGGAGGCAGCAGUGGGGAAUAUUGCGCAAUGGGGGAAACCCUGACGCAGCGACGUCGUGUGAGGGAAGAAGGCCUUCGGGUCGUAAACCUCUGUCAGAAGGGAAGAACAUCCGGGAGUCG